AAAGCGUGCGCAGGCGGUUCGGAAAGAAGGAUGUGAAAUCCCAGGGCUUAACCUUGGAACUGCAUUCUUAACUACCGGGCUAGAGUAUGUCAGAGGGGGGUGGAAUUCCGCGUGUAGCAGUGAAAUGCGUAGAUAUGCGGAGGAACACCGAUGGCGAAGGCAGCCCCCUGGGAUAAUACUGACGCUCAUGCACGAAAGCGUGGGGAGCAAACAGGAUUAGAUACCCGAGU
RNAcentral lists this ribosomal RNA (230 nucleotides) under uncultured bacterium. Its description in RNAcentral is "partial 16S ribosomal RNA". It matches the Rfam family "Bacterial small subunit ribosomal RNA", at positions 562 to 791 of the family's 1533-position model. The record is from RNAcentral.